Anolis carolinensis (green anole) is the source of this 1916-nucleotide long non-coding RNA. Lineage: Eukaryota; Metazoa; Chordata; Lepidosauria; Squamata; Anolidae. The record is from Ensembl.
AUGUUGUGCUUCAGCCAUUUCAACUGUUCUCUUGUUUCAACCUGCUGGAUUUAUUGUUGGUUUUAUUUCACUUUAUUUAUUUUUUCUUCCUUUUUGCUGGUUGGGUUCUUCCUGUUCCAUUUUGAGUUUCGACCUAGUUCUUGUUUACUUCUCCAUUUAUGUCUUCUUUUUUCGUAUAUUCCUCAUACUGUUUCCAAUCUGUUUGUUGUACAGGUUUUCCUUUAUGUUGUCUCAGCAAGAAUGUUAGUCUAUCCAUGUCAUAGAUGUCUUCCAUUGUCUCCAGCCAUUGUUCUAUUUUUGGUAUCUCCUGUGUUUUCCAAUACAGUAGAGUCUCACUUAUCCAACAUAAAUGGCCCAGCAGAACAUUGGAUAAGCAAAAAUGUUGGAUAAUAAGGAGGGAUUAAUGAAAAGCCUAUUAAACAUCAAAUUACGCUUUUACAAGUUAAGCACCAUAAAUAUCAUGUUUUACCACAAAUCAACAGAAAAAGCAGUCCAAAACAAGGUAACGUUAUGUAGUAAUUACUCUAUUUAUGAAUUUAGCACCAAAACAUUGCAAUAUAUUGAAAACAUUGACUACAAAAACAUUGGCUACUAACAAAUUCACUACAAAUAAAGAUAGAAUUCCAUAAAAUAAACUUAUAGUAGCAACAUUGUCAGAAAUUAAAUCCAUACAAAGUUCAAUCUUUGCUACCUAGAGAAACAGCUGUGGAGGCAAACUGUGUUGGAUAAUCCAGAACAUUGGAUAAGCGAAUGUUGAAUAAGUGAGACUCUACUGUAUUUAGCAAAAGUUAUUCUCGCCGCUGUUUUCAUGUAUGUAAAUAAAAUGUCCUUAUUUAAGUUGAAACCUGUGUCUUUGUUAUUCCUAGUAGAUAGUAUUCCGGUUUCAUUGGGAUGGUCUUCUUUUAAAAAAAAAUUUGCUUUCUGAAUGUAUAGCUUUCCAAAAUUUUGCAGUUUCUUCACAUGACCACCAAAUAUGGUAGUAAGAGCCCAAGUUGCAUUUACAUUUCCAACAGUUGUUUUGAGAAUUUUUAUACAUUAUGCCUAAUUUUUUCGGGGUUAUAUGCCAUCUAUGAAACAUUUUUAGCCAAUUUUCUUUUAAAACUGAUGUGUAAGUAUAGUUUAAUUUUUUGUUCCAAAAUUGUUCCCAUUCUUCACAUUUCAUUGAGCGGCCUAUUUUUAUUUAUUUUUUUGCCCAUUUUACCAUGUAAUUUUUAAUCUCUUCAGAUUCUGUAGACCAUUCCAACAACUUAUUGUAUAACUUUGUUAUAUUCUUUUUGUCAUUCUGAAGCAUUUUGUCCCAAAAUGUCUUCACUUCAUUAAAACCAAUUUGUUUGUCUUUUACAUAUUGUUCUUUGAUUUGGGCAUACUGAAACCACGAUAAAGUUUUAUAUGUCUGUUUUAUAUCUUCUUGAUUCUUCAGUUGGUAUCCAUCACUCUUUUUUAUCAAAAUUUCUUUAUACCUGGGCCACUUUAUCCAUCCAAGAAUUUUCCUUUGACUCGCUUCAAGGGGUGAUAUCCACAUCGGGGUUUUUUUAUAUUUUUCCCAUAUUUUUUAAUUAAGGAUGAUCUUACAAAAUGAUUACCAAAGUUUUUUCCACAAUUCUUUUAUUGUACCAAAUGUACGCAUGCCAUCCUCGUCUUAGAUCAAAACCUUCGAGAGAUAGUAUGUUGCUGUCAUUUAACAUUGCCCACUCUUUCACCCAUGUCAAGGAGCAAGCCUCGAAACACAAUUUCAAAUUUGGAAGUCCGAAACCUCCCCUAUUAUUUGUGUCAGUCAUAAUUUCAUACUUAAUUCUUAGUUUUUUUCCUUUCCAAACAAACUUUGAAAUUUCUUUGUUCCAUUCAUUGAAAAUCUUGGCAUUCCUUAUUAGGAGGUUUUGAAAUAGGUACAACAUUUUUGGUAAUAUGUUCAUCUU